Long non-coding RNA from Oncorhynchus tshawytscha (Chinook salmon), 1908 nucleotides. The record is from Ensembl. Lineage: Eukaryota; Metazoa; Chordata; Actinopteri; Salmoniformes; Salmonidae.
CCAUCAUGAUUUGUUGAGCCACACCCAUCAUCCUCAGGCUGCCGUUUCAGCUCCAUCUCUGUCAGUGGUGUAGCUGUUAGGAUAACAGAACAAGUAUAUUUCAGUGUAAAACAGUCUUGUAUUAGCUGAAGUACAGAAUCAUUGUGAUAGCUACGAGUGUUCCAGGUUGAAUGAACAGUUCAGUGUAAAACUGUCUUGUAUUAGCUGAAGUACAGAAUCAUUGUGAUAGCUACGAGUGUUCCAGGUUGACUGAACAGUUCAGUCUGCUACAUCCUUCUCAAACAGUUCAUGGUUAUGAUAUUUCAGUUCAGUGUGGAACAGUCUUGUAUUAGCUGAAGUACAGAAUCAUUGUGAUAGCUACGAGUGUUCCAGGUUGACUGAGCAGUUCAGUCUGCUACAUCCUUCUCAAACAGUUCAUGUAUAUGAGGUUUCAUUAUAUAAUAUAAGAUAUUAAAACCAAAUAUUGAGUUUUACCUUCAGUCAUGGUUCUGUCCCUCUUUGCCAAUUUUUUGUCAAAUGUCACCAGCUCUUUCAGGUCCUCUGCCUGCGUUGAACCAGCUCUUUCAGCUCCUCUGCCUGCGUUGAACCAGCUCUUUCAGGUCCCCUGCCUGCGUUGAACCAGCUCUUUCAGCUCCUCUGCCUGCGUUGAACCAGCUCUUUCAGCUCCUCUGCCUGCAUUGAACCAGCUCUUUCAGGUCCUCUGCCUGCGUUGAACCAGCUCUUUCAGGUCCCCUGCCUGUGUUGAACCAGCUCUUUCAGGUCCUCUGCCUGCGUUGAACCAGCUCUUUCAGGUCCUCUGCCUGCGUUGAACCAGCUCUUUCAGGUCCUCUGCCUGUGUUGAACCAGCUCUUUCAGGUCCUCUGCCUGCGUUGAACCAGCUCUUUCAGGUCCUCUGCCUGCGUUGAACCAGCUCUUUCAGCUCCUCUGCCUGCGUUGAACCAGCAGUCUGAGUACUGAAGUUUUCUCACAAACAAAGAAAGGAAUAUCCUGUGCAUCUGGCAGAAUGGAGGGGAGGUUCCUGCUUCCCUGGAUUGUCUACAGUUCUGACAAACAUGGCCUGUGUCCCAAACGGUACCUUAUUCCCUUUAUAGUCUGCUACUGUAGAGCAGGGCCCUAGUGCACUAUAUAGGAAACAGAGUGCCAUUUGGGAUGAACACGUGGACUGUUUCUCGAAACUUCCCCUACCCUCUGCAUCCCCUAGCUCCAAUCCCCCAGGGACUGGAGUAGAUCUGAAAGGCUUGGGUAGGUAUCAGCAGUAUGGUGGAUGUUCCACCUAACCUAUCAGAAGGCAAGGUAGAGUCACUACCAUGUUGCUUAUACCUGUCCAACUCCUCCAGAUCUACAGGAAGUAUGUAGGCUGAAGUAAUGAGGCUAGGGGUUGGUUGUAAGGACCAGGCUAGAGAUCAGGCUAGGGGUUGGUUGUAAGGGGCCAGGCUCUAGGGACCAGGCUAAGGGGCCAUGCCAAGGCAAGGCUAAGGGAGUGGAGACCCAAGAGGGUGGGUAGUGAUAAUGUAGGCCAAGUUCUGAAGAAUGAAUGACAGAUUUUAAUACAUAUAGAGUUGAUUCAACCACGUACAACAAUGCAUAUAGCUGUAGGAUCUUAAUUUAAUCACUGUUUUGUUGCUGAGAAUUUUCCUGCUUUGUGAUUAACAUAAAUGAACUGAAAACCCACACUAACAUGUGAUCAUAUUAACACUAUUUUACAGUACUGCAGUACUUUAGUCCAGCUAAUAGCCUAACCACCGAUCAAGCAACAUUAUCGACAAGGGGAUGGUCAUCUGAAUGUGGUUAGGAGACUCAACAUUGAUGAGAAGAGGUCAUCUGAAUGUGGUUAGGAGACUCAACAUUGAUGAGAAGAGGUCAUCUGAAUGUGGUUAGGAGACUCAACAUUGAUGAGAAGAGGUCAUC